This 492-nucleotide ribosomal RNA is filed under the name uncultured bacterium. Its description in RNAcentral is "bacterial SSU rRNA". It matches the Rfam family "Bacterial small subunit ribosomal RNA", at positions 28 to 517 of the family's 1533-position model. The record is from RNAcentral.
GAUGAACGCUGGCGGCGUGCUUAACACAUGCAAGUCGAACGAAGCAAUCAGACGGAAGUUUUCGGAUGGAAGACUGGUUGACUGAGUGGCGGACGGGUGAGUAACGCGUGGGUAACCUGCCUCAUACAGGGGGAUAACAGUUAGAAAUGACUGCUAAUACCGCAUAAGCGCACAGUAUCGCAUGAUACAGUGUGAAAAACUCCGGUGGUAUGAGAUGGACCCGCGUCUGAUUAGCUAGUUGGUGGGGUAACGGCUCACCAAGGCAACGAUCAGUAGCCGACCUGAGAGGGUAAUCGGCCACAUUGGAACUGAGACACGGUCCAAACUCCUACGGGAGGCAGCAGUGGGGAAUAUUGCGCAAUGGGGGAAACCCUGACGCAGCAACGCCGCGUGAUUGAAGAAGGCCUUCGGGUUGUAAAGAUCUUUAAUCAGGGACGAAGGAAGUGACGGUACCUGAAGAAUAAGCUCCGGCUAACUACGUGCCAGCAGCCG